GCGGCGCAGCAGGGCGAUGCGCGCCUGCCACUGGCGCAGCUCCGGCGUCCAUGGCAGCAGUUCGAGACCCUUGCGCCGCACCA
Molecule: transfer RNA, 83 nt
Filed under: compost metagenome
Description: tRNA-Trp
Source: RNAcentral